UGAGUCUAGGGCAUACCACCUGAACGUGCCCAACCUCAUCUGAUCUCAGAAGUUAAGCAAGGUCGGGCCUGGUUAGUGCUUGAAUGGGAGAGAGUGAGACUCCGACUCAA
Molecule: ribosomal RNA, 110 nt
Filed under: Carlito syrichta (Philippine tarsier)
Lineage: Eukaryota; Metazoa; Chordata; Mammalia; Primates; Tarsiidae
Source: RNAcentral